UGUACUUUCUCUUCAUGCCACCAUUUUUCAGGUGUAUUACAAACAGUUUGCAACCCAAACUUUGAAUUUGGAGGAGAAAGGAACAAUAUUGCUUCUUUAUCUCUCUCUUUCUCAGAGAUGAAGAAAAAUGGUGUGUCUAAAGGAAAAUAGGGUCACUAUGGGAUAAGUACCAGAGUCUUGGGCAUCGUAAGGUGAAACUUAUAUUUUGAUUUGAAGGCAAUUUGUCUCAAACACGUAAAUGGGGUGGCUUAGAUGAUGAACCAACAGGGAUUUUCAAAGGAGUUGUUACCACUAUAAAUAAUGGAGGUUUUGUCAUUACAAGGACAAAGGUGAAGAUUUCUUUCCUACACUGUCUAGUGCUCGGUACAUUUCAUUGUUGUUUCUAUUCCAUUUUUAAUUUUUUGCUGGUGGUAUGAAUUUCAUGGGGGCAGUGGAGCAUUCUCUAUCCAUUCUGACAAUAUUUAUCCUACUUGAAGGAAAAAGUAAGCUACAUAUAACAUUAAUAUUUGUUUUUUGGGUU
This is a long non-coding RNA of Ipomoea triloba (trilobed morning glory), 520 nucleotides long. RefSeq lists it as uncharacterized. The record is from RefSeq and is a predicted model, not a curated record. NCBI's taxonomy places the organism in Eukaryota, Viridiplantae, Streptophyta, Magnoliopsida, Solanales, Convolvulaceae. The transcript is spliced from 4 exons.